AUACGUAGGUCCCGAACGUUGCGCGAAAUUACUGGGCGUAAAGGGUCCGUAGGCGGUCUGGUAAGUGGAAGGUGAAAGCCUGGGGCUCAACUCCAGAAUUGCCUUCCAAACUGCCGGACUUGAGGCAGGGAGAGGUCGGCGGAAUUCCCGGUGUAGCGGUGAAAUGCGUAGAUAUCGGGGGGAACACCAGUGGCGAAGGCGGCCGACUGGAACUGUCCUGACGCUGAGGGACGAAAGCCAGGGGAGCGAACCGGAUUAGAUACCCUAGUAGUCC
This 274-nucleotide ribosomal RNA is filed under the name uncultured bacterium. RNAcentral describes it as "partial 16S ribosomal RNA". It matches the Rfam family "Bacterial small subunit ribosomal RNA", at positions 523 to 796 of the family's 1533-position model. The record is from RNAcentral.